This 378-nucleotide ribosomal RNA is filed under the name Zyzygomyces physciacearum. Its description in RNAcentral is "partial large subunit ribosomal RNA". It matches the Rfam family "Eukaryotic large subunit ribosomal RNA", at positions 1 to 373 of the family's 3401-position model. Lineage: Eukaryota; Fungi; Basidiomycota; Tremellomycetes; Filobasidiales; Filobasidiaceae. The record is from RNAcentral.
GGCCUCAAAUCAGGUAGGACUACCCGCUGAACUUAAGCAUAUCAAUAAGCGGAGGAAAAGAAACUAACAAGGAUUCCCCUAGUAACGGCGAGUGAAGCGGGAAGAGCUCAAAUUUGAAAUCUGGUGGACUUUGUUCAUCCGAGUUGUAAUCUAGAGAAGUGUUUUCCGUGCUGGCCAAUGUACAAGUCCCUUGGAACAGGGCGUCAUAGAGGGUGAGAAUCCCGUACUUGACAUUGAUCACCGGUGCUCUGUGAUACACUUUCAAAGAGUCGAGUUGUUUGGGAAUGCAGCUCAAAAUGGGUGGUAAAUUCCAUCUAAAGCUAAAUAUUGGCGAGAGACCGAUAGCGAACAAGUACCGUGAGGGAAAGAUGAAAAGCA